GAUGAACGCUGGCGGCGUGCCUAAUACAUGCAAGUCGAGCGAACGGACGAGAAGCUUGCUUCUCUGAUGUUAGCGGCGGACGGGUGAGUAACACGUGGAUAACCUACCUAUAAGACUGGGAUAACUUCGGGAAACCGGAGCUAAUACCGGAUAAUAUUUUGAACCGCAUGGUUCAAAAGUGAAAGACGGUCUUGCUGUCACUUAUAGAUGGAUCCGCGCUGCAUUAGCUAGUUGGUAAGGUAACGGCUUACCAAGGCAACGAUGCAUAGCCGACCUGAGAGGGUGAUCGGCCACACGGGAACUGAGACACGGUCCAGACUCCUACGAGAGGCAGCAGUAGGGAAUCUGCCGCAAUGGGCGAAAGCCUGACGGAGCAACGCCGCGUGAGUGAUGAAGGUCUUCGGAUCGUAAAACUCUGUUAUUAGGGAAGAACAUAUGUGUAAGUAACUGUGCACAUCUUGACGGUACCUAAUCAGAAAGCCACGGCUAACUACGUG
Molecule: ribosomal RNA, 497 nt
Filed under: uncultured bacterium
Lineage: Bacteria
Description: partial 16S ribosomal RNA
Rfam family: Bacterial small subunit ribosomal RNA
Source: RNAcentral